CUGGACUGGAGUAUAUUCUGUAAACCUGAUUAAAAGUAUUGGUGUCAAUGGAGAAGGUCUGACAAUAGUUCAUCGUCCAGUCCUUCAUUAUCAUUUUUCCCCACAGUACAUAACAGUAUCAAGGGAUUAUAUCUACUGGACCCAAGGUUUAACAUUUAGAGUUUUCGGACGUGAAAAAAAUAAUUCUAGAGAAAUUACCAGAUACAGAAACUUAGAAAAGUAUGGUCAACGGGGUAUUCAGCAAAAUAUCUUUAUGGGUAUUCUUGCCAUCGAUCCAAGAAAACAGACAGAUAGAUAGUCCAAGUCUCUGUGGAGAUAAUAAUGGUGGAUGUUCCCAUUUCUGUCUACCUUCGUUGAUACAAUCUAUUCCGCCAUAUAAAUGCGCGUGCCCAGAUGGAAUGAAUUUAAUGGACGACACCUCAACAUGUUCAGAUGAAAUACCGAUUUAACCCUUAUGACGCGAUGAUAUAUAUGUUCGCUUACUUACCAGAAAAUAACAUUAGCCAUGACAUUUCUAAAAAUAAUAAUAAAAGCGAUUUAUAUAGCGGAUGAUUACUAACCAUUUAGUUACGUAUGCGUUUUCAAGUAAGGGUGGGGGGAUGGUCGAAUGGUUAGCGCGUGCGCGUUGUACCAUAAGGUCUGUCAUUGACUCAAUUGGCGUGGCCUGUCCAACGUGGGUUUUUCUCGGGUCCUCCGGUUUACUCCCACAGCGAAUUAUUGAAAUAAAAUUGAACCAUAUGUUAGUCCCGAGAAGACUUGUGUCUUAUGGGGUUGUCAAUAAUUCGCUGGCGCGUAGGGUUCUUUAGCGGUUGGGGAAAAUCGGAGGACCCGGAGAAAACCCACGAUGUUGGACAGGCGACCCUAAUCCUUGUCACGCACAAGGGGGAAAUUGAAACCAUGCCACUUGACGCAAUCAUAGACCUAAUGAUUUAACCUUUCGGCCACCCAAGUCACUGGAUCUAUUGUAUAUACAUUUCAUCUUAUUGCCAUAUUUUUUCUAUUGUCACCAAGUCAUGCCUCCAACUCAGUAUCAGUGAAAACAAGAAAUGGGUGGAAACCCUGGUUUGCGAUAGCACGCGGUUACAUAAUUCACGGACUCAAAAAGGAACUAUUUUAACUUCGUGCAGAAAUCAAAUGUUGAGAAAAAUGGGCAGUCAAAGAAAAGUAACUGAUAAAAUAAUUCAAAAUAAACACUGCUGUUUUGUGGUAGGUUGAUUUGUAAAAAUUGAAGUAAACGAGGAAAUAAUUUGACUUAUUUGUACCCCUUAUGGUACUUUUUUGAUAGGUUAUUCCUGUCAAACGAUCACAUGAUAUUUCUUUGGUCAUGUGACCUGUUCCUAUGGUAAAGUGGGACUUCGCAGCGCUCUCGAAGAGAUAGUAUCCCUAA
Patella vulgata (common limpet) is the source of this 1387-nucleotide long non-coding RNA. RefSeq lists it as uncharacterized. The record is from RefSeq and is a predicted model, not a curated record. The transcript has 3 exons. Lineage: Eukaryota; Metazoa; Mollusca; Gastropoda; Patellidae.